GUUAAUAUAGUUUAAGGAGAACAUAGUAUUGAAGAUACUAAGGUAUACAAUUUUUUAACA
Molecule: transfer RNA, 60 nt
Filed under: Campodea lubbockii
Lineage: Eukaryota; Metazoa; Arthropoda; Diplura; Rhabdura; Campodeidae
Description: Campodea lubbocki tRNA-Phe
Source: RNAcentral